This 468-nucleotide ribosomal RNA is filed under the name uncultured bacterium. Its description in RNAcentral is "partial 16S ribosomal RNA". It matches the Rfam family "Bacterial small subunit ribosomal RNA", at positions 28 to 507 of the family's 1533-position model. The record is from RNAcentral.
GACGAACGCUGGCGGCGUGCUUAACACAUGCAAGUCGAACGGAAAGGCCCUGCUUUUGUGGGGUUCUCGAGUGGCGAACGGGUGAGUAACACGUGAGUAACCUGCCCUUGACUUUGGGAUAACUUCAGGAAACUGGGGCUAAUACCGGAUAGGAGCUCCUGCUGCAUGGUGGGGGUUGGAAAGUUUCGGCGGUCGGGGCUGGACGCGCGGCUUAUCAGCUUGUUGGUGGGGGAGUGGCUUACCAAGGCUUUGACGGGUAGCCGGCCUGAGAGGGUGACCGGCCACAAUGGGACUGAGAUACGGCCCAGACUCGUACGGGAGGCAGCAGUGGGGAAUAUUGCACAAUGGGCGGAAGCCUGAUGAAGAAACGCCGCGUGCGGGAUGACGGUCUGCGGGUUGUAAAACGCUUUCGCCUGUGACGAAGCGUGAGUGACGGUAAUGGGUAAAGAAGCACCGGCUAACUACGUG